This 482-nucleotide ribosomal RNA is filed under the name Salmonella enterica. Its description in RNAcentral is "bacterial SSU rRNA". It matches the Rfam family "Bacterial small subunit ribosomal RNA", at positions 138 to 615 of the family's 1533-position model. Lineage: Bacteria; Pseudomonadati; Pseudomonadota; Gammaproteobacteria; Enterobacterales; Enterobacteriaceae. The record is from RNAcentral.
GGGGGAUAACUACUGGAAACGGUGGCUAAUACCGCAUAACGUCGCAAGACCAAAGAGGGGGACCUUCGGGCCUCUUGCCAUCAGAUGUGCCCAGAUGGGAUUAGCUUGUUGGUGAGGUAACGGCUCACCAAGGCGACGAUCCCUAGCUGGUCUGAGAGGAUGACCAGCCACACUGGAACUGAGACACGGUCCAGACUCCUACGGGAGGCAGCAGUGGGGAAUAUUGCACAAUGGGCGCAAGCCUGAUGCAGCCAUGCCGCGUGUAUGAAGAAGGCCUUCGGGUUGUAAAGUACUUUCAGCGGGGAGGAAGGUGUUGUGGUUAAUAACCGCAGCAAUUGACGUUACCCGCAGAAGAAGCACCGGCUAACUCCGUGCCAGCAGCCGCGGUAAUACGGAGGGUGCAAGCGUUAAUCGGAAUUACUGGGCGUAAAGCGCACGCAGGCGGUCUGUCAAGUCGGAUGUGAAAUCCCCGGGCUCAACCU